Molecule: long non-coding RNA, 2585 nt
Organism: Gasterosteus aculeatus (three-spined stickleback)
Lineage: Eukaryota; Metazoa; Chordata; Actinopteri; Perciformes; Gasterosteidae
Source: Ensembl
GUGCUUGACCCUGAGGAAACUGCUGAUGACUUCGGGCCCCGUGGCUGUCGGUCACCUCCAGCUGGCCUUACAGUGGCAGUACGAGCUGCUGCGGCGCGGCAGCGUUGGCUCCUCCUCCUCCGCCGACGGAGCGACCGAGCACGUGCAGGACGUCGACCGAGGCGGGAAGGAAGCGAGCAGUCUUCUAGAAAAGUCUGCGUCUACGGUUUCCGCGUUGUCUGAGGGCAAACCCCCCUCCUUCAGCUCCUUCGACUCUGGUUUCGAUGGCGCCGGCACCAACCAGCCGGAGGCGUGUGGGGGCGGGGACUGUGCGAGACGCGCCGCGAGCCACCAGGAGAACGCCGCCGGUGUCUCGGGCGGCGAGGAUCCCAGAGGGGAGUUUGACUUUGGCUCCUUGGGGAACUCCUCCAGGGCCAGCAUCCGUGUCGUCCCCAAGGCGGCCGUGGAGUCCCUCAACCUGGAGAUCAAAGUGAAGCGCUCGGCGCCGGCGCCCAACAACCCCUGGCUCAGCUUACCGAUAGACGAUCUGGAGAACUCGUACACGGUCACCAUCACACAGAACCCGACGCCGCAGAAGAGCGCGCUGCAGUCCCGCGAACCCGCCGACCCCGACCUGGCCGACGGGUCUCGAGAUCAGCCCACGCAGACGGAGGCUCUGACCGGCACGCCGCCCGCGCGCCCACUGAGCGCGGACUGGAGGAUGCGCCCGCAAAGCAGUCCAGAGGAUCGCCAUAUCCUCUCCAGCACGAUCACACAAGGAGGAGACGGGUCGGUCUGCACCACGGAGGGGAUCCCUACGCUCCUCUGGGACUCGUAUGACCUCCGCGACCAGAAUCCGGAUGCUGUGGACGGGUAACGCGUCCGUCAAACAAGUUCAAUCACUUGAACAUUCUACACUUGUUCUUUCAUACUGAUUUCAAAGAUGUUUCCUUAAAACAUUGACCGUUAAGUUACUGUUUUAACUUUACAGUCAACUGAAAAUGUAUUUGUUUGAUUGCCUCAGUGUGCUGGAUGUCUCCCUAAAUGACUGGGAUGUGAAGGAGCAGGAGGACCUGAGGGCAGUGGAAAUGAUUCUGGACCGGGCAGAUGAAAUCCUGGAGAAAGAGGAAAACGUUCUGGCUCAGGAGGCGGUGCUGGACGCCCUGCUGAGGUCGGAGGAGAUGCACCAUCAGUGGCCCCCGUGGGACGGUGAGGACCAGCUCGGUGCGAUGUCGUCCAGUGAGCUGGCUGAAGCUGGUGUUCUCGGCCUGGAGGAUUACCUCGGCCCCGCAGACUCAGACUACCUCUGUGAGCCCAGACCAGCUGGAUCUGCCAGCGAGACUGACGCUGCCACGGGGGAUUUUCCCAGCAAGCCGGACCUGCUGACGGAGAUGAGGAAAGUCCAGAUCCUGGAGGAGCUGAUUAUGGAGGAGAACCUGAAGAUCCAGGACCUCCGGAGCUGCGACGGCAACGCUGAAGAGGAACUCUCUGUGGGGGAACCUCCGGAUGCCAACGGGCUGUCGCGUAUGAGCGAGGAGAGGCAGGCUUUUCAGCUACAACUGGCAAAGGAGAAACGGGAGGUGGAGAAGCUCGAGAAGAGUUUGGACAAAGAACGUAAAGCGAAGAAGCACAAGGGCCAAACCAGAAGGGUUGUAAGAUGUUCUGUAAUGGAGAAGGCUAGAAGUCAGGAUACGGAAGACCUCUGGCUGUGCGACGAGCUUUUAGCAGGUAGCUGUAGAUCACCGAGUACACAUUCAACACCUUCGGUCCAGAAGGAUUCUCAGGAAACCUGUAAAACUGAAAAUGUUCUAGCUGUGUCUGGUCCCGAUGUUGCCAAGGACGCUACACCAGAAGAUACUGUUCCACCUCCAGAUUCCCAAUGUCAAGCUGAUUGCUCGCCAGCAUUUAUUAAAGCCACCUCAGAUGUGAAGGAAGCCCCGGAGGAGGUGCUAAUCCAACAUCCGGGUUCUCUCUUUAGGAGCAAAUUUGACAAAUCCUGUGAAGAUGCGUCGUCGCCCUCUAGAAUUGAGCCAGAUGUUGGCGCGUUUGACCCGGGGGGGAAAUCAUACGGCCCCCUUGUUCCCGAGCCAAGACCGGCUCCACUUCCCGUGAACCACGACACCGUCGCUGAGCACGAACCUCCUCCUGACGCAGAGCUGCAGGAUCCAGCUCGGCCCGCCGGUGCCUCUGAUCCCGCUUUGGUGACUCAGCCUGAGGAUGCCAGUCAAACCGUAGUCCGUCCAGAUGUGGAGGAACGCAGCAGCAGCAGCAGCAGCAGCAGCAAUAAUAACAAUAAUAACCAUGUGCUCACAGAGAAAUGCAACGUUUCAUUGGAACACUUGUCUGAAAUAACCGCUGAAUGUAAGGUGGAUGCAUCAGAAGAAGAUGCAGAGGAGGACCAGACUGUACCUGCUGGUGGGCAGUCGGCUCCCCAGCUGCCCCCGGGCCGACCUCUGGGCUUUGACCCCGGUGGAAGAGAUGAGCAGAGCGAAGGCUUCGCUGUUGGCUUUCAGAGCUCGGAGGCCAUGAGGAUAUCGGGCUCCGGGUCACCUGGGAUUCGGGCCCAGCUAAACAUCAAAACGAGAGAGGUACGCAAUCUCCUGUAA